RNAcentral lists this non-coding RNA (21 nucleotides) under Caenorhabditis elegans. Lineage: Eukaryota; Metazoa; Nematoda; Chromadorea; Rhabditida; Rhabditidae. The record is from RNAcentral.
UGUCUAGAGUGGGGAUAAGAG